This 75-nucleotide transfer RNA is filed under the name Acetobacterium bakii. RNAcentral describes it as "tRNA-Gly". It matches the Rfam family "tRNA". From Rfam's summary of the family: Transfer RNA (tRNA) molecules are approximately 80 nucleotides in length. Their secondary structure includes four short double-helical elements and three loops (D, anti-codon, and T loops). The record is from RNAcentral. Lineage: Bacteria; Bacillati; Bacillota; Clostridia; Eubacteriales; Eubacteriaceae.
GCGAAAGUAGCUCAGUGGUAGAGCAUCGCCUUGCCAAGGCGAGGGUCGCGAGUUCAAAUCUCGUCUUUCGCUCCA